UCAGGAGUGAACGCUAGCGAUAGGCUAACACAUGCAAGUCGAGGGGCAGCACGGUGUAGCAAUACACUGGUGGCGACCGGCGUACGGGUGCGUAACACGUAUGCAACCGUACCGCUAUUCGGGGGAUAACCCGGCGAAAGUCGGACUAAUACCCAUAUUAUUCUUACCGGGCAUCCGGUAGGUCUGAAAGAUUUAUCGAUUGCGGAUGGGCAUGCGGAUGAUUAGCUAGUAGGUGGGGUAACGGCUCACCUAGGCGACGAUCAUUAGGGGUUCUGAGAGGAAGGUCCCCCACACUGGAACUGAGACACGGUCCAGACUCCUACGGGAGGCAGCAGUGAGGAAUAUUGGUCAAUGGGCGCUAGCCUGAACCAGCCAAGUCGCGUGAAGGAUGACAAGAUUCUAUGGUUUGUAAACUUCUUUUGCAGGGGAGUAAAGUGCGACACGUGUGUUGUAUUGCAAGUACCCUGCGAAUAAGCAUCGGCUAACUCCGUGCCAGCCGCAGC
This 503-nucleotide ribosomal RNA is filed under the name uncultured bacterium. RNAcentral's name for it is "bacterial SSU rRNA". It matches the Rfam family "Bacterial small subunit ribosomal RNA", at positions 27 to 518 of the family's 1533-position model. The record is from RNAcentral.